Molecule: ribosomal RNA, 373 nt
Filed under: uncultured organism
Description: partial 16S ribosomal RNA
Rfam family: Bacterial small subunit ribosomal RNA
Source: RNAcentral
GUAGGUGGCAAGCGUUGUCCGGAAUUAUUGGGCGUAAAGCGCGCGCAGGUGGUUCCUUAAGUCUGAUGUGAAAGCCCACGGCUCAACCGUGGAGGGUCAUUGGAAACUGGGGAACUUGAGUGCAGAAGAGGAAAGUGGAAUUCCAAGUGUAGCGGUGAAAUGCGUAGAGAUUUGGAGGAACACCAGUGGCGAAGGCGACUUUCUGGUCUGUAACUGACACUGAGGCGCGAAAGCGUGGGGAGCAAACAGGGAUUAGAUACCCUGGUAGUCCACGCCGUAAACGAUGAGUGCUAAGUGUUAGAGGGUUUUCCGCCCCUUUAGUGCUGCAGCUAACGCAUUAAGCACUCCGCCUGGGAGUACGGCCGCAAGGCUG